Molecule: ribosomal RNA, 253 nt
Filed under: uncultured bacterium
Lineage: Bacteria
Description: partial 16S ribosomal RNA
Rfam family: Bacterial small subunit ribosomal RNA
Source: RNAcentral
UACGUAGGUGGCAAGCGUUGUCCGGAUUUAUUGGGUUUAAAGGGUGCGUAGGCGGCCCUGUAAGUCAGUGCUGAAAUAUCCCAGCUUAACUGGGAGGGUGGCAUUGAUACUGCGGGGCUAGAGUACAGAUGAGGUAGGCGGAAUUGACGGUGUAGCGGUGAAAUGCUUAGAUAUCGUCAAGAACACCUAUAGCGAAGGCAGCUUACUAGGCUGUAACUGACGCUGAGGCACGAGAGUGUGGGGAUCAAACAGG